RNAcentral lists this non-coding RNA (185 nucleotides) under Geoalkalibacter subterraneus. RNAcentral describes it as "6S / SsrS RNA". It matches the Rfam family "6S / SsrS RNA". From Rfam's summary of the family: E. coli 6S RNA was the first non coding RNA to be sequenced, but its function was unknown until recently. It consists of 184 nucleotides that fold into an extended hairpin structure with a large single-stranded internal bulge. Lineage: Bacteria; Pseudomonadati; Thermodesulfobacteriota; Desulfuromonadia; Desulfuromonadales; Geoalkalibacteraceae. The record is from Rfam by way of RNAcentral.
ACUUCUCUGGGAUGUGCGAUUUUCGCUGACGAAACACUCGCCAGCAUGAUGUUGAAUCGCGCUUCGUGUAAAGUCGUGGUGAGCAGGCCCGCCUUGCAGCGGGAAGCCUGAAGCGGCUUUCAGAAGCCGUCCUUGGUUACAGGGGCGAGAUCUUCCGACACGGCAAUCGGCAUCCCGGAGACAGU